GGAGAGGUGGCCGAGCGGCUGAAGGCGCUCCCCUGCUAAGGGAGUAUACGGCGACCCCGUAUCGUGGGUUCGAAUCCCACCCUCUCCG
Molecule: transfer RNA, 88 nt
Filed under: Bacteroidetes bacterium SB0662_bin_6
Lineage: Bacteria; Pseudomonadati; Bacteroidota
Also listed under: 1 other name
Description: tRNA-Ser
Rfam family: tRNA
About the family: Transfer RNA (tRNA) molecules are approximately 80 nucleotides in length. Their secondary structure includes four short double-helical elements and three loops (D, anti-codon, and T loops).
Source: RNAcentral